AGAUAGAGGAGUGCUCGAAAGAGAACCUGCACACAGGUGCUGCAUGGCUGUCGUCAGCUCGUGUCGUGAGAUGUUGGGUUAAGUCCCGCAACGAGCGCAACCCUUGCCAUCAGUUGCUACGAAAGGGCACUCUGAUGGGACUGCCGGUGACAAACCGGAGGAAGGUGGGGAUGACGUCAAGUCCUCAUGGCCCUUAUAGGUGGGGCUACACACGUCAUACAAUGGCCGGUACAAAGGGCAGCAAACCCGCGAGGGGGAGCCAAUCCAUCAAAGCCGGUCGUAGUCCGGAUCGCAGUCUGCAACUUGACUGCGUGAAGUCGGAAUCGCUAGUAAUCGUGGAUCAGCAUGUCACGGUGAAUACGUUCCCGGGUCUU
RNAcentral lists this ribosomal RNA (374 nucleotides) under uncultured Hydrogenophaga sp. Its description in RNAcentral is "bacterial SSU rRNA". It matches the Rfam family "Bacterial small subunit ribosomal RNA", at positions 1004 to 1382 of the family's 1533-position model. Lineage: Bacteria; Pseudomonadati; Pseudomonadota; Betaproteobacteria; Burkholderiales; Comamonadaceae. The record is from RNAcentral.